Molecule: transfer RNA, 77 nt
Filed under: Clostridiales bacterium
Lineage: Bacteria; Bacillati; Bacillota; Clostridia; Eubacteriales
Description: tRNA-Met
Rfam family: tRNA
About the family: Transfer RNA (tRNA) molecules are approximately 80 nucleotides in length. Their secondary structure includes four short double-helical elements and three loops (D, anti-codon, and T loops).
Source: RNAcentral
GGCGGCGUAGCUCAGCUGGCUAGAGCAUUCGGUUCAUCCCCGGAGUGUCACAGGUUCGACUCCUGUCGCCGCUACCA